Molecule: long non-coding RNA, 2296 nt
Filed under: Zea mays
Lineage: Eukaryota; Viridiplantae; Streptophyta; Magnoliopsida; Poales; Poaceae
Description: long non-coding RNA (ZMAY_LNC000528)
Source: RNAcentral
AGAUAAAUAUAAAACGAACUAAGGAUCGUCGGCGCUAAUGUCGACUGAGAAACGCCACCUAGAUCAGAUCAAACUCCUUGAUACUUGGCUCCACCUGAACCACCUGUUCUUCUCCUGUGGGGGGGUGUGAGACAGCAAGAGUGAGCUCACAUACGUUCAUCGCUCAACAAGUUGUGGGGAAUAAUGUGGCAUGAACUCACCAAAGGUGGGAGUUCAUGUAGUGUAAGGCUGAUCAAUGAAAUAAAGGCUGAAGCUGAGCAUUGCUUUUAUAAGUUGGUCAAACUUUUAUUAGCAAUUACUAGGUGUAAGUAAAUACCAAACCUUAAUAAUAAUAAAGAAAAGUAAUAGUAAAAUAAUCCCAAAUGCGAUGCAAAUGUCAAAUUAAAUUUAAGUUCCAUAAAUUAAUCAUGUGAGGGUCCGAGCCGCUCUUGACCGUGAGCACGGCUAGUAUACCAGUUUUACACUCUGCAGAGGUUGCGCAUCUUUACCCACAAGUCAUGUUACCCAUCUGCCAAGAGAUGGCCAAUCCCAUACACCUCUACCGAGGAGGCGAGGCAGGGUAACACUACGAGGCCUUUACAAAGUUCCACUAGCUUCAGAAAUCCCGCUACAGUUUAUAGGAAGCUCCAGUGCAGGGUUCUUGCCUGACCGCCAUCGCAGCAAAAUCAACCCAAGGACCUCCCUACACUGACCACUCCCCUACUGCCCUUGCCCCUUUCGGGUAAGGAAGACCUCCACUAGCUUUCCUAGUUAAUCAGCCAAGGGCGUCCCAUUAUACCCUUGUGGUAGCACUGUUUUCCCGGGUGGUCGCUCCAUGUUCCCAUUAAUUUAAUGAUCUUAACAUGAAUAGUAAUAAUAACAAGAUAAUAAAAGAAUAAUCAUGAAUAUUGUAUCUCCAUACCCAAUCCACAUAAAGCAAUAGCAAGUACUACCCAAAAAUAUUUCAGGGGUGAACAAGGUAUAGAGGCAAUCAAAACUGGGGUAACAUAAAGGCUCCCAUCAAAAUUAACCUAUGCAGAUCAUUAAAAUUAAUAAGAACAUGGCUGGGAAAAGUAAGUGAUCAAGGGCACAACUUGCCUGGCACUUGAGAUUCCAGGUACCAACUUGCUUUUCAGAUGACACGAGUCCUCGCGCUAGUCGUUGCAACCCAAGCAAACAUGAUAUAGACAAAAUUAACAUCACACCAAACAUAAGAACAACUGCAUAAUAUCGAUCUACGCGUUGCUAUGAGACUAACGCAACUGGAACGAGUCAAAUCGGAGUUAAAACGAAGGAGUUAUGAUUUUCCUAAGGUUUCAUGUGUUUGGUAUAGGAUUAAUUAGGAAAUAAGUUUUAAUAUGAUUUUCAUGUCAAACCAGAUGUACUAUGUGAUAAACAGUAAUACUAUAGAUUUAUAGGAAUUGGAAUGGACCAAUUUAGACUCCAUAUGAAUUUUACAUGAAUUAAACAAAUUCUAUCAAUUAUUUUCAUAUAGAAAUUCAUUUUCUAAAUGAUUUUAUAUGUUUUUAUCACUGUCUGGACAGGUCCUCAAAUCCUAGAGACAACAGGGGCUAAUCUACUAAAAUUCCCGAGACUCAAAGCUACAGCCGCAUGGACGGUGGGUUGUUUUCUUAGAAAGUCGGGGUCUCUUUUACAAAACCAGCUCAGCGAAGGGGUAAGUUCUAAUCUGGUCCGUCCGAUCAACAACGUGUGGCGCAGAUUAGAUAUAACUCAAACGAAACGGUAAGCGCUGUUAGCCGUGGGAUCCGAGAUCCACGGCCAUGAUUUAAUGAAGCUAGAUCUAGUCUGAGCCUUGGGAUGGCAGAUCUACGGUUCCUGUUGAUCGCGCGAACGGGUAAGGAAAUACCUAAUCUCGGCCGCCCGCGGCCGAUCCGACGGCCAAGGUUUCCUAGAGCAAAGCGGUAUGAAGAGAUUUAAUCUGGAUCGCACGCCCAGAAUCCAACGGCCAUCGUGGAGUGCCCAUUUUCUCCCCCAUCCCCGACCGGCGGCGCCCCAUUCACGGCGGCGCCCUACGCCGUGCACCCCGUCCGACGGCCACCAGGCCCUAAAUCCUAUACCAACCCGUGCUACGCGCAGAGUAAGACGAGGCGAAGCUAUGGGGUAGCACAUUACCAGCGGGGAAGGCGGUGGCAUGGCUAGUCACGGCGGCAUGCGGCCCUGCGGCGGAGCUCCAUUCUCCCAGCCAAACUCGCAUCAUCCCACGGGCCCUGGGCAUGAUCCCUGUUGACCGGUGAAGCGCCAAAGCCAUCCUCCAGUGCCCAGUUGGCCACACAGGCGGGAAUCCAUGGUGGCGGGG